GGGGAAUCUUCCGCAAUGGGCGAAAGCCUGACGGAGCAAUGCCGCGUGAAUGAAGAAGGCCUUCGGGUCGUAAAAUUCUGUCCUUAUUGAAGAGAGGUUCAUGUGUAAACAAUGCAUGAAUAGGACGGUAGAUAAGGAGGAAGCCCCGGCUAACUACGUGCCAGCAGCCGCGGUAAUACGUAGGGGGCGAGCGUUGUCCGGAAUCACUGGGCGUAAAGGGCGCGUAGGCGGUCUAGUAAGUCAGAUGUGAAAAGUGAGGGCUCAACCCUUAGAGUGCAUCUGAUACUGCUAGGCUUGAGUACAGAAGAGGAAAGCGGAAUUCCUAGUGUAGCGGUGAAAUGCGUAGAUAUUAGGAGGAACACCAGUGGCGAAGGCGGCUUUCUGGGCUGAAACUGACGCUGAGGCGCGAAAGCGUGGGGAGCAAACAGGAUUAGAUACCCUGGUAGUCCACGCCGUAAACGAUGGGUACUAGGUGUCGGGGGUAUCGAUACCCUCGGUGCCGGAGUAAACACAAUAAGUACCCCGCCUGGGGAGUACGAUCGCAAGAUUGAAACUCAAAGGAAUUGACGGGGGCCCGCACAAGCGGUGGAGCAUGUGGUUUAAUUCGACGCAACGCGAAGAACCUUACCAAGACUUGACAUCCUGCUGACGGAUUGGGUAAUGCCGAUCGUUCUACUUCGGUAGACAGCAGAGACAGGUGGUGCAUGGUUGUCGUCAGCUCGUGUCGUGAGAUGUUGGGUUAAGUCCCGCAACGAGCGCAACCCUUGUCUUUAGUUGCCAGCAUUAAGUUGGGCACUCUAAAGAGACUGCCGGUGACAAACCGGAGGAAGGUGGGGAUGACGUCAAAUCAUCAUGCCCCUUAUGUCUUGGGCUACACACGUGCUACAAUGGUCGGUACAAAGGGCAGCGAGACCGCGAGGUGGAGCGAAUCCCAAAAAGCCGAUCCCAGUUCGGAUUGCAGGCUGCAACCCGCCUGCAUGAAGUCGGAAUCGCUAGUAAUCGCAGGUCAGCAUACUGCGGUGAAUACGUUCCCG
Molecule: ribosomal RNA, 1034 nt
Filed under: uncultured bacterium
Lineage: Bacteria
Description: bacterial SSU rRNA
Rfam family: Bacterial small subunit ribosomal RNA
Source: RNAcentral